UUGGGAGGGCGUAUAGUGUGGCAGGCUGUCCUCUUCUGCUCCCUGUAAACAGUCUGAGGAGCUCCUGUGCAGAGCAGGGGCAAGGAUGCCUUGUCCAGCCUAGCCCCUGGUCCUGUCUCUUUUGUGGGAAUCCCAAAAGCAAAGGAAGAAUUUGACAUGAAGGCUCCUCUUGUAGCACUGGUUUUGAUGCCCUUCUGGGUCACAGUGCAUAAAUCAGAAGAAAUUCUUGAGAAAAAGAGAGGAAUUAACAUUUCAAAAGAGGAGACCCUGAACAAGAGUAAAAGAUUAACAGUUCAAGAUUUAUUAUCACAAG
Zootoca vivipara (common lizard) is the source of this 313-nucleotide non-coding RNA. NCBI's taxonomy places the organism in Eukaryota, Metazoa, Chordata, Lepidosauria, Squamata, Lacertidae. The record is from RefSeq and is a predicted model, not a curated record.